ACUGCCGUGGGCAAGGACGUAAUGCUCCUGGCCGAUGAUGGGCAAGGCGAGGUUGUUCGACAGCGCACACGCCCGUCCGGUCGGGCCGACGGCG
This 94-nucleotide transfer RNA is filed under the name Mycobacterium shimoidei. Its description in RNAcentral is "tRNA-Ser". Lineage: Bacteria; Bacillati; Actinomycetota; Actinomycetes; Mycobacteriales; Mycobacteriaceae. The record is from RNAcentral.